CGAAUAAGUUUAACAUGCCAUUUUGGGAUCUUGUUUGUCUGGUUAAACUGCUAACCCACCUCGAACCAUCACACAACCAGCAUCCAAACAGAGCCUGGGUUGUUACUUGCACCUUCAUUUUCAUUGGUGGUAAUUCAUUCUGGAAUCCAUUUCUAAUAUGUAAGAUGUCCCUGUUGGAUGUAUAUUAUGCAAAAUUUAAUGCAAAAUUAGCUUACUAUAUGAUGGUGGCUGUUGUUGUUUGGAAUACAUUCUAGAUGAAGAAUAGUUGUAAUAUUAGCCCUAAGGUACGAACAUAGAGUUGAAACAUUUGUUGUAUUGUUUUGGUGGAUUCUAGAAUUUUUUGCAUGAAAUGUUCCACAAAACAAGUGCCAGGACUCAAAAGAUUUUGAGAACUUUAGAAGUUUGCUAUUUAGUCAUUUUUUUGAGUGUUGAAUGAGAAACAUCAGCGAUAUUCUUGAGGUCUUCUGGCUAUAUAUAAUCUAUGAAGUUUGAUUUUUUUUUCUUUUUCUAUUUUGAACUUUUUAAUUAUAUUAGAAAGGGAAAAGAAUCAUAACUUUAAUGAUACACUUAAUCAAGGCUCGUCAUCUCGGUACUAGAACCCGUACCGGUGCAAUACUAGUACAGUACGAUACAGAGUUUUUUUGGUGUACCGACUCGGUACGCCACCCUUACCAGGUACUGGUGGUACCGGUACCAAACCGAUAUGGUACGGUAUGUCCCGUACUAUCUAGUUCGGACUGGUACGGCGUACCUUGCGCUUAAUUGUAUUGUGGAGCCUUGUGACAUUGAUAUAAGAUCUUUCUAGAAGUUGAAUUGUUGCUCGGCCGAGUUCUUUUUGCUGUCCAAUUAGCUAUUUAAAAGGCAGGGUCAUCCAAUCAUCUGUAGGAUAAAAGGGACGUUAUGUAGCCUUCUGUUUGAAUCUAUUCUUUCUGCUGGGUUUUCUCAACUUAAUUUGUUGGAAGUUCAUUGAAGCAUGUAAAGAUUGACUUGUUUGGAAAAGAGCUGCAAUUCUGUUGAAACAAUAUUCUGAUUUUGAACAAAAAUCACUUAAUUCUUCUUACUACAGAUCAUGGCAAUUUAAGCAUGCAAACAUCCUCUUAUUUUCUUUUCUUAGUCAAUCAAGUGGGAUAACAAUUCUUAAUGUUUAUACUUUGCUUGCUUGAUACUGCAACACAGACCGUCUGUUUUGUAUCUGGUGUUCAUGC
This 1205-nucleotide long non-coding RNA is filed under the name Phoenix dactylifera (date palm). RNAcentral's name for it is "long non-coding RNA (PDAC_LNC015459)". Lineage: Eukaryota; Viridiplantae; Streptophyta; Magnoliopsida; Arecales; Arecaceae. The record is from RNAcentral.